Molecule: ribosomal RNA, 505 nt
Filed under: uncultured bacterium
Lineage: Bacteria
Description: partial 16S ribosomal RNA
Rfam family: Bacterial small subunit ribosomal RNA
Source: RNAcentral
GACGAACGCUGGCGGCGUGCCUAAUACAUGCAAGUAGAACGCACAGUUUAUACCGUAGCUUGCUCCACCAUAGACUGUGAGUUGCGAACGGGUGAGUAACGCGUAGGUAACCUGCCUGGUAGCGGGGGAUAACUAUUGGAAACGAUAGCUAAUACCGCAUAAUAUUAAUUAUUGCAUGAUAAUUAAUUGAAAGGUGCAAUUGCACCACUACCAGAUGGACCUGCGUUGUAUUAGCUAGUAGGUGAGGUAACGGCUCACCUAGGCGACGAUACAUAGCCGACCUGAGAGGGUGAUCGGCCACACUGGGACUGAGACACGGCCCAGACUCCUACGGGAGGCAGCAGUAGGGAAUCUUCGGCAAUGGACGAAAGUCUGACCGAGCAACGCCGCGUGAGUGAAGAAGGUUUUCGGAUCGUAAAGCUCGGUUGUAAGAGAAGAACGGGUGUGAGAGUGGAAAGUUCACACUGUGACGGUAUCUGACCAGAAAGGGACGGCUAACUACGUG